AAUAAAAGGUGGACCAAGGAUGGUGGUUUAAGUACCGCGUUUCCUAAAAGCUCAGGAAGAAGGAGCCACAGGACGAUUCCAGGGAAUAAAACCGUUCCGGAGAAGGCCAUGAGACCUGGCAGAACUUUGAACAUGGAACUUACCUCACACCGUACUCCAAAAUGUAGUCAGGAUCUAUCAUACGUCUAAAUAUGAGGUGGCUACAGCACAAUCAUCCAGGCAUUCCAGAGGAAGAGCAAGAGAGCAAGCUUCUGUCCACCUUUGCUUUAAAUCUUCUGGCCCAUAAUUCCCUGUGCUCUGGAGGCAACCAGCUUUUCAGCCAAUCCCGUCAUAGAUGCACAGAUUUGCACAUUCGCCCUCCCACCUCUGUGUCUCUGCCCAAGGCUUGACUCUUCACCAGUUGUGAGAUGCUGGGCUGAUGUGGACUCCAGCCAGCAGUGUCAACGGUGUUGUGGAUGCAACAAACAAAUUCACAUGGACUACAGAAGUCCUGCAGAGAAAAAGGGACAACACGGCCACUCGCUGAGAGAGUACCCUGACCCUUGCCUGGACAAGCUUUUAUUGGCUUUUUAAUAGCAUACUCCAAGGAAGGUUCUCAUUCAUUAUGCUCGGGUUUGCUUUAGGUGGUUACUUUUUACAGAUAACAAAGGAAAGGACGUUACUGAUUACUUCUUAUAGAUUAACAAGGAAAAAAUAUUGCAAAUGCCAGGGAAUGAUAAGAGUGACUGACCUGGUUACACUCAGUCCUUAGGAGAAUUAGCACAGACUUCAGGAAGUUACUUUAAAGAUAUGCAGUAAACAUUUUCUGCUUCAGUUCAGGGUGAGGGAGUUUUAGCAAGAGCAAGCCUCAAAGCAGCCUAGGUAUAAUGCAGGCUUGGUUUCCCACAGGAAAGCCAAUGGGUUUGGCUUCCUGUGUGCCAACUCGCUCCUGUCGGUUUUCUGAUAGGGCUGGGCUACCUUUGCCACGUCAAGUGGACCGGUUCCCUAUACUGGGUGAUUAUAGAAAUUCUUUUCUUGAGAAUAAUAAAUGAGAUUAAUCAUAAACUACUUAGCAUAAUAGUGAGUGUUGAAAAGUGAGUGUUCAGGAGAGGAUCCUGGGGAAAUGGCAUAGUAGGAAUCUGUUUCCCAACCUAAACAAUAAUUGCAAUGGCAGAAUCUGCCUGAUGUAACUAUCUUGGAACUCCAGUCUACUGGCAACUUCCUGGAAAAGGUGUAAUGGAAAAUUGAAGCUAAUAUUGGUCAAUUUCAGUUCUUAGGACAUUAGCAGCUGCCUACCCUCUUUGGAGGUAAUUUGGUUCAGAUUAGGUCAAGAGGGCACUGGCCAGGUGGCUUAGUUGGUUGGAGCAUUGUCCCAUGCACCAAAAGAUUGCAAGUUCAAUUACUGGUGAGAGCAAGUACCUAGAUUGUGGGUUCAAUCCCUGGUCUUGGCCCUAUGAGAGUCAACCAAUUGAUGUUUCUGUUUCACAUCGUUUCUCUUUCAUAUCAAUGUUUCUCUCCCCACUCCCCCUUCUCUCUAAAUUCAACACACUCAGAUGAGGAUAAAAAAUAAAUAAAUAAAAUAGAUUAGGUCAUGAUGGAAUUAGUGUACUCUCAUAAAAAGAUGAAGAUGAAGAUAAUGAACAUGCACCACACAGAGGAAAAGGACAUGUGAGGAUACAGCAAAAAGGCAACCACCUGCAAGCCACAGAUGGUGCCUUCACCAAGGAUCCCACCAUGCUGGCACCCCGAUCUUGGCCUUUCCAGACUCUAGAAUUCUGGGAAAUAAAUGCCUGUU
Molecule: long non-coding RNA, 1774 nt
Organism: Phyllostomus hastatus (greater spear-nosed bat)
Lineage: Eukaryota; Metazoa; Chordata; Mammalia; Chiroptera; Phyllostomidae
Exons: 3
Source: RefSeq, a predicted model, not a curated record